This 145-nucleotide non-coding RNA is filed under the name Lepisosteus oculatus (spotted gar). RNAcentral describes it as "Eukaryotic large subunit ribosomal RNA". It matches the Rfam family "Eukaryotic large subunit ribosomal RNA", at positions 3012 to 3156 of the family's 3401-position model. Lineage: Eukaryota; Metazoa; Chordata; Actinopteri; Semionotiformes; Lepisosteidae. The record is from Rfam by way of RNAcentral.
UGCGACAGUGAUUCUGCUCAGUACGAGAGGAACCGCAGGUUCAGACAUGUGGUGUCUGUGCUUGGAUGAGGAGCCAGUGGUGCAAAGCUACAGUCUCUGGGAUUAUCACCGAAUCCCUAUAAAAGGAGAUGGCCUAUUGGUUCCA